This 253-nucleotide ribosomal RNA is filed under the name uncultured bacterium. Its description in RNAcentral is "partial 16S ribosomal RNA". It matches the Rfam family "Bacterial small subunit ribosomal RNA", at positions 524 to 776 of the family's 1533-position model. The record is from RNAcentral.
GACGGAGGGGGCAAGCGUUGUCCGGAGUUACUGGGCGUAAAGCGCACGUAGGCGGUCUGGUGCGUCGGUGCUGAAAGCGCCGGGCUUAACCCGGCGAGGCGGGCCGAUACGACCAGACUCGAGGCAGGCAGAGGGUGGCGGAAUUCCGGGUGUAGUGGUGAAAUGCGUAGAGAUCCGGAGGAACGCCGGUGGUGAAGACGGCCACCUGGGCCUGACCUGACGCUGAGGUGCGAAAGCGUGGGGAGCGAACCGG